GCUAAGGUAGCAUAAUAAUUUGUCAUUUAAUUGGUAACCAGAAUGAAAGGCUAAACUAACUUAUUAAGUUUGUGGGACUGGAUAGUAGAUUAAAGUUAAGGUAAGAAUUCUUUAAUUUUCUGGGGGACGAUAAGACCCUAGAAGCUUGACAAGUGUAGUGUUUAGGUUUGUUUUAGAAGUAAAUUUGUUUUGCUGGGGCGGUAAAAGUAAUUAAGCUACUUAUUGUUUAAAGGAUCCUUUAAAUAAAGAGAGAAUAGAGAAGUUACUCUAGGGAUAA
RNAcentral lists this ribosomal RNA (277 nucleotides) under Gammarus cf. balcanicus GcfBAL16c. Its description in RNAcentral is "partial 16S ribosomal RNA". Lineage: Eukaryota; Metazoa; Arthropoda; Malacostraca; Amphipoda; Gammaridae. RNAcentral also lists the same sequence under 1 other name. The record is from RNAcentral.